Molecule: long non-coding RNA, 2470 nt
Filed under: Homo sapiens (human)
Lineage: Eukaryota; Metazoa; Chordata; Mammalia; Primates; Hominidae
Description: HSALNT0265310
Source: RNAcentral
UAAAAGUAAAAUCAUGAUGUUCAGACAUAAUUUCCCCAAAACAGGUAUCUAAAAUGUUAAACUUUAAUCAUCCUGUUGGCACAGUUGGCAGCAUGUCAGUCUUAUAAAAUGUUAAACUUUAAUACAAUCUGAUGAUCCUCCGAUGUUACUAUUUAAUGUUGUAGUUUAUGCUUAUGUUCAUAAGAAAAUAUGGCAAUGUCAAAUAUUGUUCUCAUUUACCAUUAGAAUGUUUCUGUCAUCCUUCAAGAGGUCUGAAUAGAUCAUGGAACCAUGUUCAAGGGCUGCUGUAUUAAUGAAAGAAGUACAUGAUCAUCCCAAUAGAUGCAGAAAGAGAAUGUGACAAAAUUCGACUGCCAUUCAUGAUAAAAACUCUCAGAAAACUAGGACUAGAAGGGAACUUCCUCAACCUGACAAAGCAUCUCUACAAAAAACCUGUCAGUAACAUCACAUUUGAUGAUAAAAGAGAAAAAGAGUGUUUUUCUGGCCGGGCACAAUGGCUCACACCUGUAAUCCCAGGACUUUGGGAGCCUGAGGUGGGCGGAUCAUGAGGUCAGGAGUUCGAGACCCGCCUUACCAACAUGGUAAAACCCCGUCUCUACUAAAAAUACAAAAAAGUUAGCCGGGUGUGGUGGUGCAUGCCCGUAAUCCCAGCUACUCUGGAGGCUGAGGCAGAACUGCUUGAACCCAGAAGGUGGAGGUUGCAGUGAGCCAAGAUCACACCACUGAACUCCAGCCUGGGCUGACAAAGCAAGACUCCAUCUCAAAAAAGAAAAAAAGAAAAAAACAAACAAACAAACAGAGUGCUUUUCCUCUAAUGUUGGGAACACGGCAAGGAAGUCCACUCACUACUCAUAUUUAACAUACUGGAUGUCUUGGCUAAUGCAAAAAGGCAAGAACAAGAAAUAAAAAACUUAUGGCGUGGGAAGGAAGAAAUAAAACUGUGUUUAUUUGCAGAUGACAUAAUUGACUUUGUAGAAAAUUUCAAGGAAUCUUCAGAAAAGGUACUAGAACUAAUGAGUGAGUUUAGCAAGGUAACAGGAUAUAAGGUCAACAUGCAAAUAUAAUUAUAUUUCUGUAACUAGGAAUGAGUAAUUAGAAACUGAAAUCAAAAUAGCACCAAAAAAUGAAAUAGAACCAAAAAUGAGAUUUUCAAAUAUAAAUCUAACAAACUAUGUGUAGGAUCUGUAUGCUUGCAACUGCAAAACUCUAAUGAAAGAAAUAAAAAAUGAGCCGGGCAUGGUGGCUCAUGCCUGUAAUCCCAGCACUUUGGGAGGCUGAGGCGGGUGGAUCCCGAGGUCAGGAGUUCAAGAUCAGCCUGACCAACAUGGUGAAACCCUGUCUCUACUAAAAAUACAAAAAUUAGCCAGGCAUGGUGGUUUGCGCCUGUUGUCCCAGCUACUCAGGAGGCUGAGGCAGGAAAAGCGCUUGAACCCGGGAGGCGGAGGUUGCAGUGAGCCGAGAUCGCACCACUGCACUCCAGCCUGGGCAACAGAGCAAGACUCCAUCUCCAAAAAAAAAAAAAAAAGAAAGAAAGAACACAAAAUAGAUUUUAGACCUAAAUAGAUAUAAAACCUGAAACUAUAAAACUCUUCAGAGAAAACAGAAGAAAAUUGUUGUGAUCUUUGGUUAGGCAAAGAUUUUUUAGAUAUGACAAUCCAUAAAAGAAAAAAGCUAUUAAAUUGUCAAAACUGGAAACAACCGAAAUAUUCUUCAGUUGGGUAAUGUAUAAACAAAUUUUGGUACAUCUGUAUGGUGGAAUACAUACAACCACAUGGAUGGAUUUCAGAUGUAGUAUACUAAGUGAAAGAAGCUAGCCUCAAAAGGCUACAUCUUAUAUGAUUCCAUUAUAUGACAUUCUGGAAAAGGUGACAGUCUAGUGACAGAGAACAGAUCUGGAAAAGGUGACAGUCUAGUGACAGAGAACAGAUCAGUGGUAAGACUGGGGGAAUGGUUUGACUAGAAAGCAGUAAAAUGAAGGAAUUUGGAAGGAAGGAUGAUCAACUGUUUUGUAUUGUGGUGGUUACAUGACUGUACAUUUGUCAAAACUAGUACCCUAAAAAGGGCAACUUUCACUACUAUACGUAAAUUAUACUUCAACUUUAAAAAAGCUGCUACAAAAGGAUAAAUUAAAGUAGAAUUGCUGAGUAAAAUGGUAAGCAUAUUUUUAUUCAAAUGUCAAACUGCUUUCCAGGAAGAUGGUCCAAUUUAGAUCGUCUUUCCCCAUCCUUGCAGGAGACGGAUUGGGCAGCAAUGGGCUUGUCAAUCAUUUUAACCUUUGCCAAACUGAUAAGUGAAAAGUGUAUCUUGAUAUUGUUUGAUUUUCAUUAAAAAAAUUUUAAGUGAAGCCAAACAUAUUUCACAUAUUAGGUAAUCAUGAGUACUCUUUAUUUUUCUGAAUUGUCUGUUAAUGUUUUUUGUUUCUAUUAAGGUGUUAAUUCAUUUCCUGUUUAAUUUAUAAGCAACUUUUGUU